UACGAAGGGGGCUAGCGUUGCUCGGAAUUACUGGGCGUAAAGGGCGCGUAGGCGGCACUGUUAGUCAGGCGUGAAAGUCCUGGGCUCAACCUGGGAACUGCGCUUGAUACGGCAGAGCUAGAGGAUGGAAGAGGGUCGCGGAAUUCCCAGUGUAGAGGUGAAAUUCGUAGAUAUUGGGAAGAACACCGGUGGCGAAGGCGGCGACCUGGUCCAUUACUGACGCUGAGGCGCGAAAGCAUGGGGAGCAAACGGG
RNAcentral lists this ribosomal RNA (253 nucleotides) under uncultured bacterium. Its description in RNAcentral is "partial 16S ribosomal RNA". It matches the Rfam family "Bacterial small subunit ribosomal RNA", at positions 524 to 776 of the family's 1533-position model. The record is from RNAcentral.